Molecule: unclassified non-coding RNA, 191 nt
Filed under: uncultured Psilocybe
Lineage: Eukaryota; Fungi; Basidiomycota; Agaricomycetes; Agaricales; Strophariaceae
Description: sequence contains ITS1
Source: RNAcentral
UUGAAUAAACUUGAUGUGGUUGUAGCUGGCUCUCUAGGGAGUAUGUGCACGCCCGUCAUAUUUAUAUUUCCACCUGUGCACCUUUUGUAGACCCAGAAGACUCUUUGUAGUCGUUUGGGCCUAUGUUUAUCAUAUACCCCAUAGUAUGUAUUAGAAUGGUAUUAGUGGGCUUCAUGCCUAUAAACACUAUA